GAGUGUGUUGAUGGGAGACACCCUUGAGCCAGUCUGCUGGAGAGAUCAUUAUUCUCUAGUUAAUUGGAGCCAGAAUCAUAAGUGGAUGUGACACUCCUAGGAACUUCAAGAUCGACUUUUUAAACACAUUGGACAGAGAUAAAAAGCAGGCAGAAAUCGGAGAUGAAUCUACACUUAAAAGAUUGGAACUGCACUGUGUUACCUGUGUUCAACCAUAGUAUGGAAGUAUUAAAUGGAAAAUUCCAGAAAUAAAUAAUUAGUAAGUUUUCAAUUGGGUGCUAUUCUGAGUGUGUGAUGAAAUCUUCACCUCCCCACUCCAUCUCACCCAGGACAUGAAUCAUCCCU
Long non-coding RNA from Pipistrellus kuhlii (Kuhl's pipistrelle), 345 nucleotides. RefSeq lists it as uncharacterized. The record is from RefSeq and is a predicted model, not a curated record. The transcript has 3 exons. Lineage: Eukaryota; Metazoa; Chordata; Mammalia; Chiroptera; Vespertilionidae.